RNAcentral lists this long non-coding RNA (406 nucleotides) under Struthio camelus australis. RNAcentral's name for it is "lncRNA (ENSSCUG00000012377.1)". Lineage: Eukaryota; Metazoa; Chordata; Aves; Struthioniformes; Struthionidae. The record is from RNAcentral.
CUGCUGCUGCCGCUGCCUGCAGAGAGCAGGGGCGCAGAUGGGAAGAGGCUGCAGCUGCGGGGCAGGUGCCAUCCCCCGCUGCCGCAGGAGGGGCAGCAGCCCCCUCGGGCAGCUCGCCGGCUCAGGCGGGGAUUUGGUUGUGACAGCCCAGCUCCAUGUCGGGGCAUGCAAGUCGCAGGAGGCUGCACUUGGCAGAAGCUGCUGCCAGAGAAAGGGGCCAAGGAGCAACUGAGCAUGGAUGCUUCUACAGAGGGGAUGUGGAGUGUGACACGGGAAACAACCAAGUGCCAAGAUCUUGAUCCAGCCCCAGAGCUGCUAACUGCCGAUUAUCCCAAGCUUGAAACCAGGAGAGUCAACUCCCUUUGACCAGCGAGCUCCCCCCAGACCACAGGCAAGGACUCUGGAC